UACGGAGGAUCCGAGCGUUAUCCGGAUUUAUUGGGUUUAAAGGGUGCGUAGGCGGCCUGUUAAGUCAGGGGUGAAAGACGGUAGCUCAACUAUCGCAGUGCCUUUGAUACUGAUGGGCUUGAAUACAGCUGAGGUAGGCGGAAUGUGACAAGUAGCGGUGAAAUGCAUAGAUAUGUCACAGAACACCGAUUGCGAAGGCAGCUUACUAAAGUGCGAUUGACGCUGAGGCACGAAAGCGUGGGGAUCAAACAGG
Molecule: unclassified non-coding RNA, 253 nt
Filed under: uncultured Sphingobacteriaceae bacterium
Lineage: Bacteria; Pseudomonadati; Bacteroidota; Sphingobacteriia; Sphingobacteriales; Sphingobacteriaceae
Description: contains 16S-23S intergenic spacer region
Rfam family: Bacterial small subunit ribosomal RNA
Source: RNAcentral